This 730-nucleotide ribosomal RNA is filed under the name uncultured bacterium. RNAcentral describes it as "bacterial SSU rRNA". It matches the Rfam family "Bacterial small subunit ribosomal RNA", at positions 771 to 1501 of the family's 1533-position model. The record is from RNAcentral.
AACAGGAUUAGAUACCCUGGUAGUCCACGCCGUAAACGAUGUCGACUAGCCGUUGGGUCCUUCGCGGACUUUGUGGCGCAGUUAACGCGAUAAGUCGACCGCCUGGGGAGUACGGCCGCAAGGUUAAAACUCAAAUGAAUUGACGGGGGCCCGCACAAGCGGUGGAGCAUGUGGUUUAAUUCGAUGCAACGCGAAGAACCUUACCUACUCUUGACAUCCUGCGAACCCUUCGGAGACGAAGGGGUGCCUUCGGGAACGCAGAGACAGGUGCUGCAUGGCUGUCGUCAGCUCGUGUUGUGAAAUGUUGGGUUAAGUCCCGUAACGAGCGCAACCCUUGUCCCUAUUUGCCAGCGAUUCGGUCGGGAACUCUAGGGAGACUGCCGGUGACAAACCGGAGGAAGGUGGGGACGACGUCAAGUCAUCAUGGCCCUUACGGGUAGGACUACACACGUGCUACAAUGGUCAGUACAAAGGGUUGCGAACUUGCGAGAGUGAGCCAAUCCCAGAAAGCUGAUCUCAGUCCGGAUCGGAGUCUGCAACUCGACUCCGUGAAGUCGGAAUCGCUAGUAAUCGUGAAUCAGAAUGUCACGGUGAAUACGUUCCCGGGCCUUGUACACACCGCCCGUCACACCAUGGGAGUGGACUGCACCAGAAGUGGUUAGCCUAACCUUCGGGAGGGCGAUCACCACGGUGUGGUUCAUGACUGGGGUGAAGUCGUAACAAGGUAACC